GACUACCCAGGUGGCUAGCACCUACUUGGAUAAGAAUGUCCUGAGCUUCAAAUCUCUUCCCUGAUAAAAAGAGGGCUGCUGCUCUCAAGGAACUUCAGUCAAGGGGAGUGGGGGAAGACAGUCCCACACACAGACAAAAAACUAGGGGGUGAAAGGCCAAUGAGUGGUGGGAAGGAAAGGGAAAGAAGCUUCCAGAAGGCUAGGGGUAAGAAUGCAGCAGUGAACAUGGUUCCUGCACUCAUGAAGCAAAUGUAUCCACUGUGGUACAAAAGAGACUGUAAAAAACAAACCCAAAUGGACAACAGAGUUCUGAACCAUCCUGUGACAAGUCUAGUUACCCUAAAGCUGUCAUGCAGGAGAGACCAUGUGGAGAGAAGGAGAGUUAGAGAGAGGAGGAGCCCCUGCUGUUUGAGUAUUCUCAGCCCAGACACCAGACAUGAGUGAGGAAGCAUUCAGACCCCAACUCCAGUUUAAAAACGCCACCACUCAACAGCCUGUUUUCUGAGCCUAUGACCACAUAUAUGCUGCAGAACCCUUUCAGGGUGUAUCUGAAACUACUUCUCUUAAAGGCAAGCUGUAACUGGUGCCAGAAAAGACAGAAGCUGAUUGAGGUCCCAGCUUGGUAACAGUUUGAAGAGUUGCAGGACUGGCUGGAUGAGUACUGGCUGCAGCAAAUCAGGCUGCCAGGAUUCUUUAUGGCUGUUUCUGCUUCCACUACAGCUGAGUCAGAAAGGUCGCUGCCCCGUGGUGGCACUAGACGCAGUGGACCUGGCAAGCAAAUGUUUCCGCUAUUAGCUCUCAGCAACAGAGACUCAUUUAUGGUCACCUUGGAAAUCUGGGCUUAUCGAUCUACAGCCCAAGUCUGCUGAGAAGCUGGAGCUUACUAAAGGGGAAACCUGAGAGCUGUUCAAGCCCCAAAUAUUUUCCACUUCUGCGUCACCUCUGCUGUCUGUUAGCAGAGUGGAGGAGAAAAUACACAGCACAAACAACGUGAAAAAAUAGUUACUCUAUUCAUUAAAAGCUGUAACUUCCAGAUUGGACUUGAGAAGCAAUUAAGCAACAGAGGAACCUCAUCUACUAUCUGUAUUCAGGCAUGCUCAUGAGAACACGCUGCUCCAGCUGGACUUAGAGGAACCCGGUGCAUCACAGGCAUUCCUGACAGAGUCUCGUGGUCCUGCUGGUCCACUCAGUGGUACUCAGUCCUCCUCAUUCUCGGGGAUAGGUUCCAAGACCCCCAGGGGAUGCCUGAAACUGCGGAUGGUGAAAUGCCAUCACAUCCUUCAUACUCAUAUUUUUAGGACCAUAGGAGACCCAAUAUAUCUGUCUGUAUUGCAAUAAAUUACAAGGCUUUGACCAAAGACCCAGUUCCUAACUGACUGCUCUUGAAGCCAGCUCCACUGCAGAAUUAAGGAACAGAGAUGAGACUUGUCUGACAUGGGGAACUGUCACAGGAUAAUACCUUUGAAAAGCCUGGUUUUAGAACUUGCCUCUCUCAAUUUGAGGCAGUGUAUGUUUUUAAGUUUCUAAAAAUAAGAUAUUAUAAGAUUUGUAACAUUACAAUGACUGCCAAUGCAAAGAACCUCUGGGACUCUAGUGCAUCAGUGGAAUAUCAGCACAUUGAUGGACAUGUGGACUAUUUGGAUUCAGAAGACCUGGUUUGAGCUCAUCUCUGCUGCCAACUGUCUGUGUGACCUUAAGUAAAAUUAUCUCCUCUCUC
Molecule: long non-coding RNA, 1717 nt
Filed under: Homo sapiens (human)
Lineage: Eukaryota; Metazoa; Chordata; Mammalia; Primates; Hominidae
Description: PREDICTED lncRNA (TCONS_00264029)
Source: RNAcentral